AGGGUUUGAUUCUGGCUCAGGAUAAACGCUGGCGGCGUGCCUAACACAUGCACCACGAACGCGCUUCGCAAGAAGCGAGUGGCGGACGGGUGAGUAACACGUGGGAACCUACCUUGAGGUGAGGGAUACCGGCGAGAAAUCGCCGACAAGCCCGCAUGUGCUUCUCUUGGGAAGCAAAGCUCUUUUGAGAGCGCCACAGGAUGGGCCCGCGGCCGAUUAGCUAGUUGGUGGGGUAAAAGCUCACCAAGGCGUCGAUCGGUAGCUGGUCUGAGAGGACGAUCAGCCACACUGGGAUUGAGAACGGCCCAGACUCCUACGGGGGGCAGCAGUGAGGAAUUUUCCGCAAUGGAGGAAACUCUGACGGAGCAACGCCGCGUGCAGGAAGACGGCCUUCGGGUUGUAAACUGCUUUUCUGUGGGAAGAGCAAGGACGGUACCACAGGAACAAGCCCCGGCUAACUACGUGCCAGCAGCCCGCGGUAAUACG
Molecule: ribosomal RNA, 486 nt
Filed under: uncultured bacterium
Lineage: Bacteria
Description: bacterial SSU rRNA
Rfam family: Bacterial small subunit ribosomal RNA
Source: RNAcentral